RNAcentral lists this ribosomal RNA (249 nucleotides) under uncultured bacterium. Its description in RNAcentral is "partial 16S ribosomal RNA". It matches the Rfam family "Bacterial small subunit ribosomal RNA", at positions 796 to 1041 of the family's 1533-position model. The record is from RNAcentral.
CACGCCCUAAACGAUGUCAACUAGUUGUUCGGUGAGGAGACUCAUUGAGUAACGCAGCUAACGCGUGAAGUUGACCGCCUGGGGAGUACGGCCGCAAGGUUAAAACUCAAAGGAAUUGACGGGGACCCGCACAAGCGGUGGAUGAUGUGGUUUAAUUCGAUGCAACGCGAAAAACCUUACCCACCUUUGACAUGGUCGGAACCCUUUAGAGAUAGAGGGGUGCUCGAAAGAGAGCCGAUACACAGGUGC